CUUUUUAGGGCCGUACUGCAGCAUAUGGAGGUUCCCGUGCUAGGGGUCGAAUGAGAGCUGUAGCUGCCAGCCUACACCACAGCCACAGCCAAGGUGAGAUCCAAGCCUCAUCUGUGACCUACACCACAGAUCACAGCAAUGCCAGAUCCUUAACCCAACGAGCAAGGCCAGGGACUGAACCUGCAUCCUCAUGGAUACUAGUCAGACUCAUUUCUGCUAAGCCAUGAGGGAAACUCCUGAAAUCUUACUCUGAUGCGAGAAGACAACUCCCUAUAAACUAGCCUCCAGAACAGUGAGGAAUAAACUUCUGUUGUUUUUAAGCCACCCCGUCUAUGGUACUUCAGCAGCCUGAACUAAGACACCAUUUCAAAAUGGUGGUCAGGGCAUAUGAAAGAUCCCAUCACAGUUAUAAAAAAGUAUACAUACCUACCACAAUUCAAAGACUAUCAUGGGCCUGAGAGGUUUCAACAAAUAUCUGAAGCUGUAAAAGGAUGAGGAAAUACUAGCUGACAGAGCUUACAGCCUCAGAGGGAGAGCUGCUGCUGAAGAGGGCGAUAAGUGACUUACCCAGGGAAAGAGGCUCCAGACUCAGAAAAAGCAAGUACAUACAAUAUGGGCCAGAAAGGACAACACGAGUGGAAAGGAGAAGAUUAACUGAAAAGUCUGAGUAUCAACAACUGUUACUUCCAUGCCUAAGUCCUAUCUUUAUAAGAAACAACAAACCUUAUAGGACCCCAGGCAAAAACAAAAACUUUAAAAAGGGAAAUGAUUCUCUUAAGAAAUUAAACAAAAUGUCUGGGAGAACUAAACAGCUAGUGCAUCUGUUAGUCUGAGAACCCCAAAGUCAAGCCCUCCUCACUCUGAUACUUAGCAAGUCUCCAACACGAGGGCUGGCUCUGUGCCACCAGAAGGAGGCUACCGGUGGCAAUACGCAGCCACACAUACAGAGUGCCACAUCAUCUUUAUAUGAAUGAACAGUUAAGGAUAAAGAUCCAUUUAAAGAAACCCUGCAGUGUGAAAGUGGAAAACCAAAAUAAACAAUUAAAAGACCCUGGAAGAAACAGAAAAUUCAAAGGAAUAAAGCUAUUUCAUUGAGAACCCCCAAGACAACCUUUAUUAGUGCUCCUAAAAAAUAUUUGAUAAUUACACCCACAUAAGAACAACAACAGGAGUUCCCAUCAUGGUUUGGUGGAAAAAAAUCUAACUAGCAUCCAUGAGGAUGCAGGUUCGAUCCCUGGCAUCUCUCAGUGGGUUAAGGAUCCAGCACUGCCGUGAGCUGUGGUGUAGGUUGCAGAUGUGGCUCGGAUCCUAAGUUGCCGCGGCUGUGGCCGGCAGCCAUAGCGCCAGUUUGACUCCUCGCCUGGGAACCUCCAUAUGCCGUGGGUGGGGCCCUAAAAAGACAACAACCAAAAAAAGAACAACGACCAUCAAGAAAAGGUGCUCUGGAAUUAAAAAUGUGGCCCCAGACCCCAAGGGUCAGUGAAUACCACGUGUGUGCGCCUGGGUACUCUGACCUCAAAGCUACGACUCUGAUGACGUCAUCCUGUGGCACAGACAAUCCCUUACCUAAGAUGUGGUAUAUUUAUAGCACAGUCAGAAAUUCAAAACAGCACACAUAGAACAUGCUCAUGGGAGGGAGACAGAGACAUGAAGCCCCAUUGUUCAAGAAAAUCUGAGCCUGUUUUUAACUCCUCUACUAGCUUACAGGAUGAUCUGUAAGCUUCUCUCCAUUCCUUGUCUGUCCUUUCCUACAGGACAGGAGAAAACAAAGGUCGUGUGUGUAGAGUGACACAAUGAAGACUCCUGGAAAGUAUUAGUAAGAGCUGGCUUGGUGGGAAGACUUCAAGACACUAAGACAUGUUAAUGAAGUACAUGUGAAAUCUUCCCCGGAGAACUUCACCUACAAGAUAAACGCCCCUCCCAUCUGAGUGAUUUGCAUACUGUCCUCCCUGUAACUAGAAAGAGGAAUGGGAUCAUUGGUUCAAAACCCCACUACUCUGAAAGCCUUCUUUUUAUAACCAAAAAAUUCCAUAAUGCCCUAUUUAUUAUUCUGAAAUAAAAUUCAUUGAUAAAUAUUAACUCGUAUACAUUUUAUUUUAUUUUAUUUUACUUUACUUUUGUCUUUUUGCCUUUUCUAGGGCCGAACCCGCGGCAUAUGGAGGUUCCCAGGCCAGGGGUCGAAUCAGAGCUGUAGCUGCUGGUCUAUGCCAGAGCCACAGCAAUGCGGGAUCCGAGCCGCGUCUGUAACCUACACCACAGCUCAUGGCAAUGUCAGAUCCUUAACCCACUGAGCAAGGCCAGGGAUCAAACCCACAACCUCAUGGUUUUUAGUCGGAUUUGUUAACCACUGAGCCACAGUGGGAAUUCCCACAUUGUUUUUAAAACAUCAAUAUAAUACUCUAUGUGUAAUGUAAAGGAGAACCUAAAAAGAAAAACAAUUUUUAAUAAUAUUUCAAUAUGUAAACAAUUUUCAGGUCCAAUUAACUGUGUAAUGAAAUAGAUGCAUAUUGUUUACUUAUAUAAAGAAUAAACUUGAAUUAAGAGAAGUCAAAUCAGAAGAGUCCCAUAUUAAAAGCACAGGAAAACAAAAGAAAGGAAUAGGCGGACAACAGAAAUGAAAGUGAAUAUAUUCUGUGUAUAUUAAAAGUAUGAAAACAUUUGUGUUUUUAUAUAAAACGGGCUUAAGCCUAGGCUCAGAUAAUUAUAAACUAAUUUUUCACUGCGUGAAUAUCCAACAGGAUAGCUGAAACUCAUGUGGGAGACGGGUCAACACUUUCUGUCUUUUCCACUGUGAGACAUUUAAAAUCUGAUUCCCAUCCAUCCAAUGCCCUACCACUGCAGGAUCCAACAGGGUCCCAGAUUUCUACUAUGCCCUCUAGGGGGCGGCACUGCUCCCAUGAAAACCCCUGGUUGAUGACCUAUGGGCGUUUCCUUCUAGCCUUCAGUCUAUCACAGAGAAGCAAAUCCUGAAGACAAAUUCAGCAACAUCCCUGAGAAAAAUACUGAUUCAACAUGGCAAAUGACUAUAAAAAAUGAAUUGAGACGUACGUCAUUAACUAUAGCCAUAUUCAACAUUAUUUCCACUUUCUGAAUUCAAGAGGAUUGGUUACUCCAUAUAGACAUGGAGUGAAAAGCUAUAGUUCUGUGUCAUUUAUUUAGAUAGCACAAAGUGAUUCUGAGUUUAGAAUUUUUCUUCUCAACUAGUUAAUUAAUGAUGAAAAGGGAAUUUUUCACAGAGCUCUACAACUCUCAUUUCCUCAAAACAAGAAUUAAUGCAUUCUUUCAUAUGUGGUCAUUACAGGAAGGGGGGGGGGAGCCAUUUACUGUAAAUGCCUUUCUGAUGCAAUUCUACCACCUCUUUCAAAGAGGGAAUUCAUCCAAGAAGCCUUAGUCACUUCUUCAAGAAAAAUGCCACUGCACUGAACAUACACAGGCGGAAUCCCCUGCCCGAGGAGAGGAGCAGAGCUGGUCUCACCAGGAGAAAACAGGGAGGAGUGGCAGGGGGAGAGAUCUCACAGCUUCUUCCUCAGAACAGAUGUCUCAAAAUGUGGCCUUUAUACAGGAAAAGUCUGACACAUCUAUAACAUCACUGCUUUGUAAAUCAGAUGCAAACACCAAUUUUCCCCACCCAACUUUUAAGGCCCUUCUUCCCCAAAAAAAUAUGAGACUUCUGUUCUGAACCAGGAACCUAUGUAUAAUUAGUAUCUGAGCAACUAUAAUUAUUUCAUUUUAAAAACUUCACACACAGAAGGAAAAAUGAAAUCCUAUACUUAAAUAUUUGAAAAUGAAAUUACAUUUUGAAGCGGGUGAAUUUCACAGUAAAGAGAUGAUGACAUAUAGUGUAAUACUACAAAGCAAUUCAGAGGAAAAAGAAACUUAAGACAAAUAGUUCUGAGCUCUUUCCAAACAGAGGACUAUUUUUUCUAAAAUCUGAAACCCACCCCAAGGGAAAAGAGGGAACUAUUUCUCCAAUUAAUCCUUACCUGGAUUUCCACUGAUUCUUUUAACAGCCAGAUGUACCCUCUUGCUUCUAUGGAGGAGUCAAUGUAAAGCCCAAAGCCCAGAAGUCACCCGAUCAAGACCGUUUGCUGCUGGAGCCCAAAAUCCCCUUGAUGAAUAAAACUGCACAUCGUAAUAUACACGUUCUGAGCAAGCUAUUGGUUAAGUGAAGGCAAUGCGUGUGGAAGUCUGAUUUGCCACCUUCGGGGCAUGCCUCUCAUAUCCCAUCUCAGAAAGACGAAAGACACACCACAUCUGAGUGAGUCAAAACUAGACAGGGUUCAUUUCUUCUGCAGCAUUCUCCCCAACACUACGGAAACCACAGGAAGGACCAACCACAGCGAGAUAGGACUCCCUCAGCAGGCAAAGUCAAUGAAGAAUUAUGUCGACACUGCAAUUCACAAAUAAAUCUCAGGCCACUGCCAGAGUUUUCUGUGUUAUGUGACUGCUUAAGAGUUAUAUAUAAGGACAAGCAUGGGACACAUAUCUUCAAGCCAAGAAUUCUGAGCCAUGGUUUAGGGGUGCAGAAUUAACAAGGAGUGGUAACAAUUCUCCAAAGAAGUUUUAAUCUUUAGGCUACACUGAUGAUCUACCAAGAAAAAUGGAGCAAUGGUGUAACUGAUCUUCUUGGAAUGAGGGGUUUUCAACAUGCAGUUCUUGGACCAUGUGCACCAGGGUGACCUAAGGUUGACUCAAGAGUAUCUGAAGUGGAGCCCGGGAAUCUGCAGGUUAUUCUUAAAUCCUUUCAAGCUGGAGGACGGUGCUUCCUGCCAGCAGAAUGAACAGCUGAUUAUAGCUGCUACCAUCUUCCCUGCUCCUCAUUCAGUUAUCUUGUCCCGUACUCCCGCUGAAAUCAGGAGCAGUAAGGACAUGAAAGCCACCUCAGUCCAGAGGCUUUCAUUCCAGGGGAAAGGAGAGCCUGCCUGGGUUCGCCUGGCCUCUCCUCCACACCCAGCUCUCCAUCUCCACUGAGACACAAGCUCAGGCUACAGUCCUUGAGGCUGAAUGUGAACAUAACAUCCAAAGAUGCUCCCCCUGGAAAACAAAAAGACGCUGCUAAGAACAAGAGGAGGAAAAUGAGGAGAGAGGAAACUCAUGUUUACUGACGACUCACAAUGUUGCAGGCACCACAUCAAGAACUUUAUAGACAAUUUUCGUUGUCAUAGAAGUCUCACCAAAAACCCCAAAACCAAAACAAAAAUCCCUUCUUCAGAAGAGUAUGAACAUACAAACUUGGAGUCUCUGUAGAGAACGCACUGCUGGUAGGGCCCUGCCGGCAAUGCAUCCCUCCACGCAAGACUUCCCUCAGCCACAUGUGCUCAGCUCCACCCCCAUUAUCCUCUAAACAUAAAGGGGUUUUUAAAAGGAAACUAAGAAACACUGUCAGAAAUGUACUUAAAAUGAUAUCACCUU
RNAcentral lists this long non-coding RNA (5412 nucleotides) under Sus scrofa (pig). Its description in RNAcentral is "lncRNA (ENSSSCG00040030163.1)". The record is from RNAcentral. Lineage: Eukaryota; Metazoa; Chordata; Mammalia; Artiodactyla; Suidae.